Long non-coding RNA from Neodiprion virginianus, 3496 nucleotides. RefSeq lists it as uncharacterized. The transcript is spliced from 3 exons. The record is from RefSeq and is a predicted model, not a curated record. NCBI's taxonomy places the organism in Eukaryota, Metazoa, Arthropoda, Insecta, Hymenoptera, Diprionidae.
GAGUUCCUGAAAGCGAUAAAAUGAUAAUUAUGCAAAACCAAAAACCUCGAUACAAUGAGAAACGUAACAUUGUGUGACAAAGUACAUCUAUGUACGAGUAAGUGAUUUUAUGAACCAGUGAAGAAACGUUUCAAUUUAUGUCAAUAGAAUCUUUACAGCCACUCGUCACUGGUCAUUUCAACUGCUGCGAUCACUUAUAAGGCAAUUAUAAUUACCACACAGUUUGUGAGAUGCUUCGCGGUAUUUGAGUACCAGCCAGCUAUACGUGCUCAGAGGUUUUGUAUCUGAAAAAACAUUAAGGCGAUUAGAUAAUCACCCCCUGUCUCGGAGUAUAAACCUGGUGAUAAAAUAACACAGAAAUGAUAACCCACAUGGCACUCUGUUCAACUUGUAACUGAAAGCAAAAAUGGACCCGGUAUCUAUGCUCAUGUCGAUGCUCCACAUCCCAUCCAGCAGCGCUGUCACCAUGUCGACAAAAUUCGGAGGAACUUCUUCGAAGUACUUGCCGAAUACCUCGGCUUGCAAUCUUCUACACAAUGCCGUAGUUUCAGCUUCGUUCUUCCGACAAAUGUUCAAUCUGCAGCACGAGUCAUACAUUUUUUCAAGGGACGUACUAGCGUAGGAAAAAUCCUUGGUGAAAAUAAAAAAUAUCACGAUCAACCGUUUACCGACGUCAAGUGGAAUGCCCCAUAUUUAUCGGUGCGUGCAUUCUUUCCAUGCAAUUGAAUUGGUUUCUCAGUUACAUUUAUAGGAAUGACAGUUUACCGAUCUGAAAUGCCAAGCAUAUGUCCAACGACUCUCAACACGUGGUUGAUUCCCUCUCGCUGAUCCUUGGUGUUUGUCAGACCCAAAGAUUCCGGUUCGAGCAGAACGUAGCCGAUCAUACCAUACUGAGUGAGCGCCAUGUCCCGAUGAGUGAUUCCCCCGAUUCCAUCUCGGAGGGCUCGUCGAUUUGCGAGGCAAUGCUUCCAGCGAACUGUAUUCGUUGACUUGAACCAACUGGGCCAGAUUCGGAUAACCCGAGGUCAGACAUGAUUGAGCUUACGGUUAUUCUGCUACUUGUAGCAACCGAUACUUAACGCAAGGUAACGAAGUCAAGCUCCGUUCACUUACUCCGAAUUAAUAACGUUCAAAUCCGCCAUGUACCACGCUCGAGUAUGCAAACUUGUUUCGAGAUAUCUUUUGAACGCUGCGCAUGCCGUUCCACUCUUUUUGGUAUAGAUGAGAACCUGCAAUGAAGCGCAAUCGGACGAUUUCAAGAAUACAGCCGAAGAGUAACGACGAUACCGAAAGGCGCGGUAUCGGCACGAACGCAUUUCAUCUUUCUUCUCAAGUUACAAGUUACAUCGCGGAAUGCUUCAUAAAUACUAUAAUACCGACCUUCAGGAUCGAAGGAACAGCCAGCACAGCUACAAGACCACAUAUGAUCGCAGUGGUUAAUCCAAGGCUGUUGGAACGGUAGUAAUCUUGCCCUCUGCGAUGUCAAACGGAAUUUAGAUCAUCGAACCAAAUUUCCAAAUCAUCACUAACCCAACAUUGAAACUCGAGCUUAACACUUACGCUUUGUACAAUUUUGCAUCAUACCACUCGGGAAGAUCCGCUGGAGUAACUUGCUCAGACUCAUCGUAGUCGAUGGUGUCUUCGUCGGCUACAAGUAUCCUGAAAUGCUGAUCCACGGUCGCAGGUUGGACUGUGAAAUGCAUCCCAUGGUGACAAGUAUGUGUUAAAGUAGUUUUUUUAAAUCACCCAUGUCCGUGCAUGGGUUUUUAAUUGACAGUGAUACGCGAUAAGCAUCUCACAAUUGAAAAUAGAUUAAACUUGAAAAGUGAUGUGGAACGCAAUUUUCUUCGAUAUGAGAACUGUAUACAUACCAUCGUCAAUGUGUUUUUCCUUGGACCGCAUCUUGUCCCGCCUAACUGCAGAGUACUUAUGCAAAACACGUUUAACGACUCUCACCUUAUACUCAACGACAGAGCGCCAAUUGAAUCCCCACUGGGAAUUAAAUUCAGAUCUUGACGAGAUGGCGAUCGAAAUGCGCAAGUCAAGAUCUUGAAUUUUGUUUUGAUAUAGCUUGCGACCUUGCGCUGAGAGGAGAGUUUAUUUACUGUUAUCAAACGUAUGUUUGAAUACGGCAAAAUAGAUGUUUUGCUAAUCUAAUCCUAACCUAACCUAAGCAUCUCUAAAUUGAAUAAAAAUAGAUUUGUCCAAGUAUGUUUUAACAGAUGUUCGUCAGCGAUUACAUUUGCGCGUUCUAAUCGCAAUACAACGUAAGAUUUCUUUAAUGUUCCUCAGAUAAUUUAUGAGUAUCUGGUCAACGAGCAAAAUAAGCCCGCAAACAUUACGAUCAUAUAAAAAAUAUAAGGUUGAAAAUCGUCUUGAACGUUCUUGAUAGUUAUAGAAUCAUUUUUUAAAUUAUUGAAUCACAUAACAUUUCUGGGGGUUUUUGAAAUGAGGUUUCUCCUUUUUUCUAAUUUUUCAUACUUUAACUUACAGUUAAUUCGUCCUUGAGAGGUAAAAGCCGUAUCUAACGCGUACCUGAUAAUUAUACAUAUACUCUCUACGAUGACAACAAAUGCGUGACUGUUGCACAUUAUAAAUUGGUUUUAAGAUCUUAAUCAACCGGAUUACUGAAUUUCUGAUGUCCCGAUUCCCGCAGUGAUAACGACGUGGAAUAAGGAUAUCAGAAAAACAUAAUGACCAUCUUAAGAACAGAUUAAUACUGAUUGAAAUCGGGAUCAUUAUUCUUCAUUACGGAACCGCGAUACAUUAGCGAUUACAAUUGUAAACUAAAUAUAGACUGACAUCCGUUUCUGAAAAAUAUUGUAUAAUCAAUUGAGGUUGAACGGAAAUUUAAGAGUUUGAGAAAUCGCGAAUCAUUUUCAUGUUCCGAAAUGUGCAAUGCUUAUGUAUGCGCUACUGACCAUCUGUAUAAAAAAUAGCAUAUUCACAAGCUAUGAAAUUUUGGAUUGGAAGGAAUCGAUGACUCGAAAUGCGUUUCGGUUAAACAAUUUUUGCGUCCGGCUCAGAUACUCGGUAGAAGAGAUUGUUUCGAUAAUCUGCUUCGGGCUACUUCGUAUUGCAUCAUCGUACCGUCCGCGUGAUUUAGCACAUUUUUACCUUCUUUUUGCGUGAGUAAUUAUUUGAACAAAAACGCAGACACAUCUGUCGUAACAGUCGCGCCCUUGGAAAUAAUUGCGCAUCUGUUGAAAAUUCCUUUCAGAAUAAAAUCAACGUUGUCCGUAUAUUUGAAGCGUAAAUAUGAAUGUGAGUAGUUUCAAGGAAUAGAAGAAAAAAAUACAUGGGUAAAAGUAUAAGGUGUACUGUAAUUAUUGGUAAAAAAACAUGGAAUAUUUCUUAUUUCUUAUUGAAGUUUUUUAAUACCCCGUAGCUUGCACAAAUACAGCGAUAUUAAUUUACUGUUAUCACAUUUUUUCGCGUGAAAGAUCCGCGAGUUAUUUACAACUAUGCCGACACGAUAAUUUGAUAGUCGUCUUGU